This is a long non-coding RNA of Antechinus flavipes (yellow-footed antechinus), 399 nucleotides long. RefSeq lists it as uncharacterized. The record is from RefSeq and is a predicted model, not a curated record. The transcript is spliced from 2 exons. Lineage: Eukaryota; Metazoa; Chordata; Mammalia; Dasyuromorphia; Dasyuridae.
AAUGACAAGGUCAAAGUCCUUUACCCAACACUCAAGAACCUCUACUAUUUGGUACAAAUCAUCUUUCCAAGUUUAUUUUCCUCUACUAUUUCCUCAUCUACAAAAUGGGAAUGGAAAUAAAACCUCCCUCCCAAGAUUAUGGUGGUAUGUGGAGAACCACAAGUACUGAAAAGGAGAGCAGCAAUGGGAGAACAGCAGCAAGAAUUGAGAUAAAAUGUUAAUAAAGAAAAGAAAAAUCUUAUUCCCUAGAGGCACCAGCUCAUGCAUAGCCAAAGAUAAGUGAAACUGAAUACAAGUUUUAAACGAAGAUAUUCCAUCUUCACCAAAUGAAAACCUCUGUUGCAGUAGUAUAUGCACUUAUUGAAAAAUAAAUUCUCUAGCUCUUUUACUCCAAACUUA